RNAcentral lists this ribosomal RNA (253 nucleotides) under uncultured bacterium. Its description in RNAcentral is "partial 16S ribosomal RNA". It matches the Rfam family "Bacterial small subunit ribosomal RNA", at positions 524 to 776 of the family's 1533-position model. The record is from RNAcentral.
UACGUAGGGUGCGAGCGUUAAUCGGAAUUACUGGGCGUAAAGCGUGCGUAGGCGGUCCGCGAAGUCUGAUGUGAAAGCCCCGGGCUCAACCUGGGAACUGCAUUGGAAACUAACGGGCUCGAGUGUGGCAGAGGGGGGUGGAAUUCCACGUGUAGCGGUGAAAUGCGUAGAGAUGUGGCGGAACACCGAUGGCGAAGGCAGCCCCCUGGGCUGAGAUUGACGCUCAGGCACGAAAGCGUGGGGAGCAAACAGG